Molecule: ribosomal RNA, 554 nt
Filed under: uncultured bacterium
Lineage: Bacteria
Description: partial 16S ribosomal RNA
Rfam family: Bacterial small subunit ribosomal RNA
Source: RNAcentral
GUAGGGAAUCUUCCACAAUGGACGCAAGUCUGAUGGAGCAACCCGCGUGAGUGAAGAAGGUCUUCGGAUCGUAAAGCUCUGUUGUUGGUGAAGAAGGAUAGAGGCAGUAACUGGUCUUUAUUUGACGGUAAUCAACCAGAAAGUCACGGCUAACUACGUGCCAGCAGCCGCGGUAAUACGUAGGUGGCAAGCGUUGUCCGGAUUUAUUGGGCGUAAAGCGAGCGCAGGCGGAAUGAUAAGUCUGAUGUGAAAGCCCACGGCUCAACCGUGGAACUGCAUCGGAAACUGUCAUUCUUGAGUGCAGAAGAGGAGAGUGGAACUCCAUGUGUAGCGGUGGAAUGCGUAGAUAUAUGGAAGAACACCAGUGGCGAAGGCGGCUCUCUGGUCUGCAACUGACGCUGAGGCUCGAAAGCAUGGGUAGCGAACAGGAUUAGAUACCCUGGUAGUCCAUGCCGUAAACGAUGAGCGCUAGGUGUUGGGGACUUUCCGGUCCUCAGUGCCGCAGCAAACGCAUUAAGCGCUCCGCCUGGGGAGUACGACCGCAAGGUUGAAAC